RNAcentral lists this long non-coding RNA (237 nucleotides) under Carica papaya (papaya). RNAcentral describes it as "long non-coding RNA (CPAP_LNC015371)". The record is from RNAcentral. Lineage: Eukaryota; Viridiplantae; Streptophyta; Magnoliopsida; Brassicales; Caricaceae.
UAAUCUAUGUAAACAUCAAGUCAUUGAAUACGAGAGGGAAAAGCUCUUGAAAACCCUAAUAUCUUACUAAAUUCAUAAAUAACAUUUGGACUUGAGAGAUGAACUCUUAGCAAGUAUAUCUUAAUUAUGGGAGCUAGAAAUGAUUUGAUUAUGAACUAAAGAGAUCCUUCCAGUAACAACAUUAUAACGAAACUAGAGAAACAUGGAAAUGGGUAAGGGUGUCUUCAAACCACCUGG